This 452-nucleotide small RNA is filed under the name Pan troglodytes (chimpanzee). RNAcentral's name for it is "processed transcript". The record is from RNAcentral. Lineage: Eukaryota; Metazoa; Chordata; Mammalia; Primates; Hominidae.
UGGUGACUUAUACCUUGCUGUCUAGUUUAAGGAAUUAAAAAUACACAUGCAUGAACCUUGAACAUCAAAUAUCGGAUAAAUCUGUUCAGAUAAGCUCCUUAUGAAUCCUUCAGAUCGAUGUUCUUGAGGAAAACAGUCAAGCUAAACAUCAAUGAUGACUUUUAUGGUAAAGGAUGAGCCGAUCACUAGCUAAGCUAUUUAGUCACCAUCCUGGGAGAUGAGCUCACAGGCACCAAGGCUUUGCUUCCUGUGGCCUGCUAGUUACAGUGAACCAGCUCCAUGGAUUGACAAGGGUACACAGGAUGAUAGCAGAGCAAAGGAGUUUGCCAAGUAUUUGUUCUGUCAUUAAGUAUUCAAAAGAACAUAUAUUUUUCUUCAUGGAACUUAACUAAGAAUGAAAUUUGGGGACUUGAAUGAUUCAAGGUCAAAUAUUAAACAUUAGCUCCUUCACC